CCCCCACCCUAGAAUGUCUUCCUCCCACUCGGAUCCCAGCAGUAAGCUCCCAGGAGCUCACUUUAGCUUGCCUGGGGGUGCCAGAGACCUCUGAGCUCAGAGAUUUCCACUCAUGGUGAAUUUAUGGAGAAUCUGGUCACUCAGGAUAACAAGUGGAGCCUAUUCUAAAGAACUCAUUUUGGAGUUGACUGAAUAUGACACUUAAUUCAAAAUGAUUCCUCAAGUGACCAGAAUUCUCAUCAUAGCAGCAUAAAACUGUAUGAUACCUAUUAUUCAAAACACGGUGCAAAGAAACAAGUUAUUCUGCAGAACGAGUCAUACACUGUUCGAGGUGCUGGGAUACGGUGAAGAACCAGACACACUUGGUCUCUGUUGUAACAGAUCUUGCAGUGGGAGGAUGGAAGGAGAUACACUGUCAGUUGAUAACUGAAGCAAUAAGAAAACUUGGGAGUGCCAUGUGUAAGAAGUGAAGCAGAGCAAUAUCAUGGAGAAUGUGUAUCAAUUGGCUGUGAAACUUAAGUGACAUCUGAAGCUCAAGAAGAAGUCAGACAUGUGAAGACAAAGUAUCAGACAGCUCCAAGACCAUACUCAGAUUCUACUUACUACUUGAGAUGGAUGUAUUGCUUGCCAAAGACUUUACUGCUUACAGGAAUAAAUUCAUCUAGAGCCACUCUAUGACCUCACAAAGGAAUCAGUACACUGGCUUCUUAACCUGAUAUCCCCACUUUUGCAGUUUCUGCCCUAUCAGUAACUAAACACACAGCACUAUUAAACUUCCUAAAUGACCAGUUAACUGAAAAUCCCAUAGACCCCUUCAGGAGAAUCCUAAUUACCUAAAGGAUAAAGUCCAAAUUUACUUCCCAUCUAAGACUUGCAAUGAUAGACUCCCACAUUCUUGUCCAGUUUUACAUUCUGAAGCUGCUCUAUCCCAAAGCAAAGAUGGACUCCACGUUGUCCCCACCUACUAAAUAUAUUUGUAACUCCAAACAUUUGUUAACAUUCUCCCUCUUGGAAUGCCUUUGCUCCCUGUCCCACAUGAAUCCUACCCCACCCACCAAAUAUUCAGCCCCAGUGCCCCUUUUUCUAGAAAGCCUUUCCUAAUGGUUUCAGUUCUCAAUGAAUCUCUUUACUGAUUUUUUCCCCAUGUUUAUUGCUUAAACACUCUCAAGUAUGGGAUCCCCGAAAACAUCUAAACUCACCUUGACCUUGACCUGAGUAAGGGCUAGAGCUUGCAUAAUUUGAACUUCCCAUUGAUGCUAAUGAUAGGAACACUUAGAUUUCUUUAGCUGCCAAGCUGUGGGGUAGAAGAGGAAGAGGGUAUAGUGGGGCCUGAAAGCUGUCAAUAGACACUAAACAUGGAGUCAAACUCUGCAUUUCACCUCUACUCAACCCUCUCAUUUCUCCUUCUUUAUCCCCUUCACCAUCUAAAGAAUCCUAUGAAUAGUCUUCUCACAUAUGUGAAGAGGACUGAGGGAAUACAGUACAUUGAAGUUGUUAUACUCAAUGUUCUUAAGAAUUCAGUAGAAAUUCUAGUGUGUAAUACUAACUUUAGAAACAAAACACUAACCUAUGCUGUGGUGGACAGACUCUAAGAUAACCCCCAUUGACCUGCCUUCUGCUCUUCAUGCCCUCUAUAUAAUCUCUCUCCCCUUGAGUGGAAGCAGAUCCUACAACUUCCAGAAUGUGGCAAAGGUCAAAGGGUUUCUCAGAUGCAAUCAGGAUCACAAAGAAGUUGAUUAUGAGUUAAUCAAAGGGGAGAUUAUCAUUGGUGGACCUGAUGGGAGACUCCCUUUGCUGGCUAAGGUGCCUUUUAGGAGGGAGUCAGCUGAGCUGCUGGAAGUCUCUAGGAGCUGAGAUUGGCCUCUGGCUGACAUUCAGCCGGUAAUUGGGAUGCUCAGUCAUACAACUGCCAGGAGAUGCAUUUUGCUAACAGCCUGUGUGAACUUGGGAGUGAAUUCUUCCCCGUUAAGCCUCCAGAUGAGAAUACAGCCCAGCCAACAUCUCGAUUGCAGCCUGGUGAGAUUGUGAGCAGAGGACUCGACUAAGCUAUACCCCAAAUCCUGAUCCACCUAAACUGUGAGAUAAUAAAUGUGCAUUGUUUAAAGCGAU
Molecule: long non-coding RNA, 2109 nt
Organism: Canis lupus familiaris (dog)
Lineage: Eukaryota; Metazoa; Chordata; Mammalia; Carnivora; Canidae
Exons: 4
Source: RefSeq, a predicted model, not a curated record